This is a long non-coding RNA of Dicentrarchus labrax (European seabass), 2443 nucleotides long. RefSeq lists it as uncharacterized. NCBI's taxonomy places the organism in Eukaryota, Metazoa, Chordata, Actinopteri, Moronidae. The transcript has 2 exons. The record is from RefSeq and is a predicted model, not a curated record.
UGCAGUGAGACUUUAAUCCAGCUCAAAUGAAUUACUGUCAGAGGAACAAAAGAACAGUGCUGGACAUUAUUUACAGUCCAAAAACAGGCCCCCUAGUGGCGAUAACAGAGAGUUACUGCAUGAAUCCUCACACUGGAUUAUUACAGUGAGUGAGUGCUGAUUGUACUGUACAUAGAGCCAGCGAGGGGAGUCUAACAUGGCAGAGACUUCAUCAUUCUUUCAACAAUGCGGAGACGUUGGAGCCCAGUUUUUCCUCUGUGGAGACACAACUGCUGCUGCAGACGUCAGGCCUGGACCACACAUUGUCUCUGCCACAGCUGCGGCUGUUUUUGAUCCGCUGCUGUAAAGACCCUGCUGCCUCUGCUUCACUCUGACCGUUAUCUCAAUACUCUCCUGAGGGAUAUCGUGGAUACUUAUUUAGCCCUUCAAUGGAAAGUUGCUGCUAUCACAGACAUUGUAGCUGCUGAUAUUUUUUCUGCAAAAAGAGGGACGUGUGUGAGAUAUCCAUCUUUACAGAGUUCACUGGAGUCAACGAUAGGCGACUUGGGGGACAUCUGUAAUGGACGCCUGUCAGCUCCAGUCUGGUCCAAGGAGGAGAUAAGUGAUUGAAGGUGUAAUCUGUGACCUGAGGUUUGUUUGAAGUGUAAAAAUUGAUGGCAGCACGAACAUCCUUCCCCCACCUUUUUCUUUUGAUUUGUGGUCAAUACAGCAGACCCCAGGCCCCCACAAAUCAGACUGAGGCACCCAGGGACCAGGGCCACAGGGGACCUAGGGUCACAGUGUGGUGUCAUAUGAAAGACAAGGUUGGUCCUUCAGUGCACUUAAUGUGGAAUCAAAAUAAUUCAUACUGGACCCCGAUUUGUGCUUCAAUCUAGUCAAAUCUUGAAGCUAACUGUGAGCCACAGGCGCGGACCUUUCACGUCGACCUGCUAAGUGCCGACUCUGCUGUGUCAGACGACGUCGCACUCCUGUGCCAUGGAGCCAGUGCCACACCCUCAGAUGUGCGAGGGCACUGCUCCUGCUGAGGGGUUUGCUAAUUGGCAGAGCAUCAUGUCCAACUGCAGGUUAUCUGAGGAUCGCUGGCUGCUUGUGUGUGUGUGUGUGUGUGUGUGUGUGUGUGUGUGUGUGUGUGUGUGUGUGUGUCUGCUGCUCCUGCGUGACAAUUUGCUUCUGCAUGUCUGUAUUUUCAGUGCAAUAAGAAAUGAAAGAUCACAAGAAAGCACCAGAAUGAAAUACAUUCUCACAAUGUGAAAUGGAAAGUUCUGUAAAUAAGUCCCAGAGGGCAUUGUAUUGUACUGUAUGAGCCUAAUUAAGCUCAGUGGCAGCCAUAACACAAACAGCUGUAUACUCUUGACCUCAGCAUUGAACUGAAGAGAGAUCUCCACCCAAUCAUAAGACAUGUUUGCGCUGAUAAGGCUCCUCUAUUGUUUCAUUUUUGUCGGUUUAAGCACUAUUCUCUAAAUGAGCGCGGCACCUGUUGAUAGGACGCUUUUAAAAAUGUCAUCAUGCCUCCCGGAUUAGGUUUAAACAAUGAUGCAAAAUUGUUUUUGUUGACUGAAGAUGGGAAGACAUCUUGUUCAGAUUGUUCUUGUUGUAUGGUUUCAGGGUGUGUUCAAAAAGCACUGGAGUGGGCAGAGGCCUGAAGGCCCUCCCCAGUGUGAAUAAUUUGUGUUCUUGCAACCUCAGAGUCAGAAACCGAUUAUAUGCUAUAUUUCUAUUUCAAUAAUAUCUCAAAAUAAUAUAACAGCACAACAUUAGUACAAUUAUUUUCAAUGUGAAGGGCUCUAUCUAGAGCCAGUGUUUGGUUUGUCUGUUCUGGGCUACUGUAGGGGAACCUCCAUGGAAGUCGAGAUGCUGUAUCUGUUGGUAAAUCGGCUCAUUCUAAGGUAACAAAAACAUAAUAAUUCAGGCGAUUAUAAACUAAUGAAAACAUACCUAUAAAUAUUAUAUUCUGUUUUAGCCGAUAGAUCCUCCCUUCACACUGGACCUUUACCUACUUGGGAAAUUAACUUUUCACUUAAAGAAAAAAACUCUCACCAAUUUUAGACAUCAAAGUCUGUUCCAAGAUGUUGGGGAGUACUACUGCAUGUGUAAAAAGUAGUUGUGUAAAGAAUUUUGUAGCUCCAGAGGGAGCUGCGUGAAAUGUCAUAAAAAAUGCCUCGAGUUUUGAAAAUGAAAAAAGUCUGGAGGUGUGGAGAAUGUAUGUGAUAAAAAGUCUAUCUCUGGUUUUGCUGCAUCAAUUUGGAUUCACUGUAAAAAAAUAUAUAUAUAUAUAUUUUUACGGUAGAAAACUGUCUGCUGUGGUUUACCAUAGUAAAAAGGGUAGAACUUUCUACUAUUACGGUAAAAGGUUAUGAGUAUUGUUGAUUUACAGUUAAAGUUUGAGUUUUAUUCUAUGUUUUACAUAUAAACCCACAUUAAACUGAACUUGAAUGCACUAAAA